UACGGAGGGAGCUAGCGUUGUUCGGAAUUACUGGGCGUAAAGCGCGCGUAGGCGGCUAUUUAAGUCAGGGGUGAAAUCCCGGGGCUCAACCCCGGAACUGCCUUUGAAACUGGAUAGCUAGAAUCCUGGAGAGGCGAGUGGAAUUCCGAGUGUAGAGGUGAAAUUCGUAGAUAUUCGGAAGAACACCAGUGGCGAAGGCGACUCGCUGGACAGGUAUUGACGCUGAGGUGCGAAAGCGUGGGGAGCAAACAGG
Molecule: ribosomal RNA, 253 nt
Filed under: uncultured bacterium
Lineage: Bacteria
Description: partial 16S ribosomal RNA
Rfam family: Bacterial small subunit ribosomal RNA
Source: RNAcentral